AGAGUUUGAUCCUGGCUCAGGACGAACGCUGGCGGCGUGCCUAAUACAUGCAAGUCGAGCGGACCGGGCGGGAGCUUGCUUCCGCUUGGUUAGCGGCGGACGGGUGAGUAACACGUGGGUAACCUGCCCGUAAGACCGGGAUAACUCCGGGAAACCGGGGCUAAUACCGGAUAACACCGAAGACCGCAUGGUCUUCGGUUGAAAGGCGGCUUCGGCUGCCACUUACGGAUGGGCCCGCGGCGCAUUAGCUAGUUGGUGAGGUAACGGCUCACCAAGGCGACGAUGCGUAGCCGGCCUGAGAGGGUGACCGGCCACACUGGGACUGAGACACGGCCCAGACUCCUACGGGAGGCAGCAGUAGGGAAUCUUCCGCAAUGGACGAAAGUCUGACGGAGCGACGCCGCGUGAGCGAAGAAGGUCUUCGGAUCGUAAAGCUCUGUUGUUAGGGAAGAAGAAGUGCCGUUCGAACAGGGCGGCGCGGUGACGGUACCUAACGAGAAAGCCCCGGCUAACUACGUGCCAGCAGCCGCGGUAAUACGUAGGGGGCGAGCGUUGUCCGGAAUUAUUGGGCGUAAAGCGCGCGCAG
Molecule: ribosomal RNA, 586 nt
Filed under: Geobacillus thermodenitrificans
Lineage: Bacteria; Bacillati; Bacillota; Bacilli; Caryophanales; Anoxybacillaceae
Description: bacterial SSU rRNA
Rfam family: Bacterial small subunit ribosomal RNA
Source: RNAcentral